CUCUCUUUGAGCCAUGUAGAGAAGGAGAAGACUUAAACUGGAGCAAAUCAGUCUGAACUGUCACUCAGGGCAAGGUUCCAAAGAAAGAAGGAGAAAAACAUGAAUCUGCUCUGCCUCUUGCUCUGCCUAUUGGUGGCUCCCCAAUGUGUCUUGUCCCAGGUGCAGCUGAAGGAGUCAGGAUCUGGCCUGGUGAAGCCCUCACAGACCCUGUCCCUCACCUGCUCUGUCUCUGGAUUCUCCAUCAGCAGUAGUUAUUACUGCUGGGCAUGGAUUCGCCAGUCCCCAGGGAAGGGAUUGCAGUGGAUUGGGUGUAUAUAUUACAAUGGAAACACAUACUACAGCUCAUCCCUCAAGAGCCGCAGCUCCAUCACUAGGGACACAUCCAAGAACCAGUUCUCUCUGCAGCUGAGCUCUGUGACUGAAGAAGACACGGCCACAUAUUACUGUGCAAGAGACACAGUGGGAGGAAGUCAGGGUGAGCCCAGACAAGAACCUCCCCUGCAGGGCCCCGGGGAGGCUGGGCUGCAGGGGUGCACAGGAACACAAGAGGGUGCUCAGCACCCACCAGGAGCAGGACCACCAAAGGGAGAGUGA
Choloepus didactylus (southern two-toed sloth) is the source of this 594-nucleotide non-coding RNA. NCBI's taxonomy places the organism in Eukaryota, Metazoa, Chordata, Mammalia, Pilosa, Megalonychidae. The record is from the annotation of a RefSeq genome assembly.